Nerophis lumbriciformis (worm pipefish) is the source of this 734-nucleotide long non-coding RNA. RefSeq lists it as uncharacterized. The record is from RefSeq and is a predicted model, not a curated record. NCBI's taxonomy places the organism in Eukaryota, Metazoa, Chordata, Actinopteri, Syngnathiformes, Syngnathidae.
CCAUUUUUGGCUAUGUGUAACUUUCAAAGGAAGGCAAUUCAGAAAAUUCACGCCUUCUAUCAGACAGCGGCGGACAUGACGCGUUGUUUGCCAUCAACGUCAGAAGAAGAAGAAGCGGGAAAACAGUAGGUGGCGUAACAUUUUAACGUUGUGUGCGCCGACCUCGAACGAAAACGAGGAAGAAGAAGAAAGAGAAGAAGAAGCGGGAACGUUUUUGGAAACGACAACCGUAACGCUUGUGACAGAAGACUUGGAGAGGAUUGACAAAAAGAAAAUGACAACAUAAGAGGUUAAGAGUUCCCACAAAGAAAAUGAAGGACCUGCACAAUUCUCCUCCCCCAAAUGAGCAAUCUGGGUGUUUGGCCUUCGUCAGAUGGGAGGACGGUUAUACCGGCAAAAUCUUUACUGGAGCAGACAUUUUGUCAAGAGAUGAAGCUCCUGUGCAGAUCUUAGAUCUUAGAACAGGAGAUUCUGUUUUAGCAAAGUGGUCAGAUGGUACAUUUUAUAGGGCAACUGUUGAAUAUAUUUCAGGAAAAGUGACGGGGGACUUGUAACAGGCAGCAACACUGUUGGACCACCACCCUAUGGGAGAGAUGCAGGCAACCCAUCUGUCGAGGACACUAUCUCAUAUCGACCGCAGGCAGAAAAAUCAUGGACGCCAUGUGAUGGAUGUUGGGAGGAGUUCGAAAAAAUCCUGCGAGAAAAGCAACAAAUCGAAGAAGUCCUCUUGAAAA